Molecule: ribosomal RNA, 156 nt
Organism: Ctenocephalides felis (cat flea)
Lineage: Eukaryota; Metazoa; Arthropoda; Insecta; Siphonaptera; Pulicidae
Product: 5.8S ribosomal RNA
Exons: 1
Source: RefSeq, a predicted model, not a curated record
CACCCUGAACGGUGGAUCACUUGGCUCGUGGGUCGAUGAAGAACGCAGCUAAUUGCGCGUCGACAUGUGAACUGCAGGAUACAUGAACAUUGACAUUUCGAAACGCACAUUGCGGUCCUCGGAUACUGUUCCCGGACCACCUCUGGCUGAGAGUCG